RNAcentral lists this ribosomal RNA (916 nucleotides) under Staphylococcus aureus. RNAcentral's name for it is "partial 23S ribosomal RNA". It matches the Rfam family "Bacterial large subunit ribosomal RNA", at positions 98 to 1010 of the family's 2925-position model. The record is from RNAcentral. Lineage: Bacteria; Bacillati; Bacillota; Bacilli; Caryophanales; Staphylococcaceae.
UUUGAUCCAGAGAUUUCCGAAUGGGGAAACCCAGCAUGAGUUAUGUCAUGUUAUCGAUAUGUGAAUACAUAGCAUAUCAGAAGGCAUACCCGGAGAACUGAAACAUCUUAGUACCCGGAGGAAGAGAAAGAAAAUUCGAUUCCCUUAGUAGCGGCGAGCGAAACGGGAAGAGCCCAAACCAACAAGCUUGCUUGUUGGGGUUGUAGGACACUCUAUACGGAGUUACAAAGGACGACAUUAGACGAAUCAUCUGGAAAGAUGAAUCAAAGAAGGUAAUAAUCCUGUAGUCGAAAAUGUUGUCUCUCUUGAGUGGAUCCUGAGUACGACGGAGCACGUGAAAUUCCGUCGGAAUCUGGGAGGACCAUCUCCUAAGGCUAAAUACUCUCUAGUGACCGAUAGUGAACCAGUACCGUGAGGGAAAGGUGAAAAGCACCCCGGAAGGGGAGUGAAAUAGAACCUGAAACCGUGUGCUUACAAGUAGUCAGAGCCCGUUAAUGGGUGAUGGCGUGCCUUUUGUAGAAUGAACCGGCGAGUUACGAUUUGAUGCAAGGUUAAGCAGUAAAUGUGGAGCCGUAGCGAAAGCGAGUCUGAAUAGGGCGUUUAGUAUUUGGUCGUAGACCCGAAACCAGGUGAUCUACCCUUGGUCAGGUUGAAGUUCAGGUAACACUGAAUGGAGGACCGAACCGACUUACGUUGAAAAGUGAGCGGAUGAACUGAGGGUAGCGGAGAAAUUCCAAUCGAACCUGGAGAUAGCUGGUUCUCUCCGAAAUAGCUUUAGGGCUAGCCUCAAGUGAUGAUUAUUGGAGGUAGAGCACUGUUUGGACGAGGGGCCCCUCUCGGGUUACCGAAUUCAGACAAACUCCGAAUGCCAAUUAAUUUAACUUGGGAGUCAGAACAUGGGUGAUAAGGUCCGUGU